This is a long non-coding RNA of Peromyscus californicus insignis, 7215 nucleotides long. RefSeq lists it as uncharacterized. The record is from RefSeq and is a predicted model, not a curated record. Lineage: Eukaryota; Metazoa; Chordata; Mammalia; Rodentia; Cricetidae. The transcript has 2 exons.
UUCUUUUUUUUUUUUUUUUUUUUUGAGCUGAGGAUUGAACCCAGGGCCUUACGCUUGCUAGGCAAGCGCUCUACCACUGAGCUAAAUCCCCAACCCAAGUCUUUUUAUUCUUAAAGUCCAACCCCCAGUGGCAUACUUCAUCCAAGCAUGACUGCAUUAACCUGGACCAGAAGGUCAUUCUUCAGUGACAGGGUCCUAAGUGGGAGGUGGCCAUUAGAUGAGAAGAUAAAGAAGAUAGAUAGAAAAUCUGGGGUCAAGAGGUCUCACACAAGCUAUGUCUUAUGCCAAGCAAGCUUAUUAAAAAAUACAGAAUCUUAUAUACUAUUUCCAGGGAUGAAAUGGGAUGAAGUCCGCAGAAACUGUCAUACCAAGGGAUGAAGUCAACAGGAAGCUAAUCAAACAGUGUUGCACAAGGGGAACACAGGGUAUCUCAAGAACAUUACAGAGUACACAGUGGCCUUGGACUGAUAACCAUAGCCCCAUACAGUGGGAAGAGUUGGGUUCAGGAACUGAAGCCACAGAUCCCCUCAUGGUCCUGGCCCCAGGGCAUUACUGGGCCUGCCAAGCGCGUUCCUUUUCUGUACAUCAUGGCCUCAGGGAAAGCCUCAGUUGAUCUGACCCUCAACAGUGCACCACUUAAACCUCCCCCAACAGCACCCCCAUUUUUAGGGUUUCUAUUGCUGUGAUAAAACACCAUGACCAAAAGCAACUCAGAGAAGAAAAGGUUUGUUUAAUCAUACAUCUUGUAGCCCAUCAUUCAGGGAAGUCAGGCCAAGAAUUCAAGGCAGGAACUGGAGGCAAAAGCUGAUGCAGAGGCCAUGGAGAGGUGCUGCUUACUGGCUUGCUCCCUGUGACUUAACUCAGCCUGUUUUCUUGCUUUUUAAAGUUUUUUUUUAAAUUUUUUUAUAUAUAAUUUUUUAUUUAAAAAAAAGAUUUUCUUUCCUUUUAUAUACCAGCCCCCUGUUCCCCCUCCCUCCUCUUCUCCCACUCCUCCCACCUACCUCUAUCCCACCCCCAUCCUCUCCUCAUAGAGAGUAAGGCUUGAAGACUAACUAAUCUCACACCUCUCAAUAGUAGACUGGCAUUUAAUAGAGGGAUGUGAAGAAGAACGGGAUGCUGAGAUGAAGCCACAUAUACACAGCCAAGAAGAAUGGACAGCUGAAUUCAAAAAACAUCAACAAUUUCCAGAAUUUAAAAUCCUGAAUCAUGACAGGACACUAGUGGAAUUCAGGUGUUUCUGGUACAUGGACUGCUCUCACCCAAUGUGAGGUCAAACUAUUGACUUUGUGUACAUCCUACUUCACAAAUGAGUCUGUCAGAUACGCUAAGCCUAUAGGUUGAAGAUGAUGCCCCAACACUGUGGAGAAACCUCAGGGGGACCUGAACUAAAACAAAGAUCCAAGACCUGUGCUCUUUUUACGUGACUAUUCCCAGAGAAAUGUGAAAAAGGAAAAAAGAAAAAGUCUAUUUAUCUGAGAAAGGGAUGAUAAAAGAAAUGAAUGCACCCAAGUUAGCCUGGUAAACUUGGGGUUAUUUGCAGAAACACAGUCAACUCAAAGACAGAUGAUGUAUCGCUGAAAGGCCCACCCCACCAUUGUGAUGACUCAUGAAUCCACUGGAGCUUACUGUCCAACAUGCAGGCAACUACAAGGAGCCUUUUUCUCCCUAGCAAUUGCCGACUGCUUAUAUUAUCGUGUGGAGGGGCCUUGUGAGUCUUGUACAUUUUCUGAGACUCCUAAGUUUCAUGAACAUCCUGCAUCUUACAGGAGGACUAUUUCAAUACAGAGGAAAUUACUACUCAGCAGCUUCUAUUUCAUGACAUUGUGCUGAGCCGGAAAGAGAUUGUCAGCCAGGGACUCCAUUUCUAAAGAGUACAGAUGUGGCUAGAAAAGGGAACUGAAAACUCACUUCCUAAGUGAGCUAGCAGGGACUUUUGAUGGUAAUAAGCAAUAUGAAUCCACUUUACAUCUCAGUCAGUGGUUCUUAACCUUUCUAAUGUGGUGACCCUUUAAUACAGUUCCUCAUGUUGUGGUGACCCCCAACCAUAACAUUAGUUUUAUUACUACUUCAUAACUAAUUUUGUUAUUGGUAUGAAUCAUAAUGUAAAUAUUUGAUAUGCAACCCCUGUGAAAGGAUUGUUUGACCCCCAAAGGGGUCACAGCCCAUAGGUUGAGAUUAACUUGUCUAAAUGAAGGCCAUAUGACUGAAUUAUUGCCAAUAGAACACAUGUAGUAAUCAUGUUUAUCAUUUCCAGAUCCAUAAAAACCUUUGCAUCAUCUCCCACAUUUUUUUUUAUUUAUUCUAGAUAACACACUGAUGCGUGUUAAAAAUGGAAGAGCUGGGACUAGACGGCUCAAUAGGUAUAGGUAAGGCCAACUUGUUGCCCAUGCUCGAUAAUCUGAGUUCAAUCCCCAGACCCACAGAUUGGAGAGAGAGAACCAACUCUCACAAGUUGUACACACACACACACACACAUUAAUUUUUUUAAUGUCAUACUUCUGAGUCUAGAUCUCCAGGUGACUGAAAGGAUUCUACCCCCAUGAAUCACCACCAUGACUGCCAACUGAGUUAUACAGUAAGAAGUCAACUGCUCCAUUAAACCACUGAGGUUUUGGCAAAUCUUAUGGCAGCUGGUGCCAAUGUAACCUAUUCUGAAUUGGUUGCUGUUAGUUCUCAGGGACUGCAUUUGUUCAGAAAUGACAAUCUUGGCUUAAUUCAAGCUGGAUGAUAGGAGGAUUUCUGGAGAUUAGAUAAAAGUCAGUAUUCCUCAGGAACUUGUGAAACAGGUUCCCUUUAGGAUUAGAGUUAGAGUUAAGGUGUACAAUUGUUCCUGGGACAAAUGCCCAAGACCACAUGUGCAAAAACAUGAACUGUAGAAGCAGGUGCUCACUUUGACAUACUGCUCAUUGGACCUUGGACACAUUACUUAACCUCUCUGCUUCCCUUUCCUCCUGGAUGCAAAAAAAAAAAGUCAAAUACUACUUAGGCGUUUAUCACAAAUUAACAUUAAGAAAACAUUUAUCGGGCUGGAGAGAUGGCUCGGACUGCUCUUCCAGAGGUCCUGAGUUCAAUUCCCAGCAACCACAUGGUAGCUCACAGCUAUCUAUAAUGAGAUCUGGUGCCCUCUUCUGACCUGCAGUCAUACAUGCUGUAUACAUAAAUAAAUAAAUCUUAAAAAAAAAAAGAAAACAUUUAUCAUAGUGCCUGGAACACACAAAUAACACGUGCCCAAAGAUCACCCUUGGCACAAAAUCUUUAAAACUAUUUCUUCUUUUAACCUUCCAGAUUUUGUUUUUGUUUGGUUUGGCAUUUUUUUUUUUUUUUUUUUUGGAGAGUCUCACAUAGUCCAGGCUGGCCUCCAACUUACUAUGUAGUCAAGGCUGCCUUUGAACUCUUAAUUCUCUUGCCUCCCAAGUACUGCAGUUGCAGACACAAGCCACGAUGCCCAGCUUUUCCGACCUUGCAUUUGAUGACGACAGCCUGUGCCCAUGAAGAGACUUUAGCCCUUUGGAUGUCCUUCCUUCGCUAUAUGAGUUUGUCCCUGGACAUGAGACACUCUCAGAGCAUGGUCUACUCAGGUCAGCAGGUACUUUGGCCCUUAUGGAUUCGGAGUGUAUUAGCUUUAGGUGGAUCAUUAACUCUAGGAGGAACUGUCACCCAUGGACCUAUGUGUUUUUUGCUUACAGGCAUGUGGAAGAAAUUGCUCAAGCUACUUUUGGGACAUUGAUGUGCAUUUAUUCACCUUUUCAACAAAUGUUUGAGUCCCACAUCAGGCAUCAUAGUCAGGCACCAUGAUCCAAUCCAGGAUUAGAAUAUUGAAGGUUACUUCUUCAAAGCAGGAUUAAAUCAGGAGAACAGAAAGUUCCAAGCCAGACUGAGUGCAUAGCAAGAUCCUGUCACCCCCUCCCCCGCCCCCCCAAAAAAACAAAAAGAAAAUUAGAGAAAGGAUAAAAUCCAAAGAUAGUCAAUAAAGCAAAAAUCAAGAAAAUAACAUGAAUGAGUAUACAAUACAGAAAAAUCAACAAAGCCAAAAAUUUUUUUCGUGUGUGUGUGUGGGGGGGGGGGGGGUGUGUUGUUUUAAAGAUUUAUUUUAUUUUUAUUUACAUGUAUGUGUGUGGGCCUAUUUGAAUUUUACACUAUGUGAGUGCAGAUAAAUGCCUGUGGAGGACAGAAGAUAAUACCUUAUUAACCUUGAAUUUUCUUAAUGCUGUUGAGAAAGGAACAACAGCUGCAGAGAGACAUUGGACAAUAAAAAACAAAAAACCAGCCAACCAACCAAAGAAAGAACUGAGCUAAAUCAACCUGUGUACUUCAAAUGUGGGACCUCAGAAUGGAAACCAGGAUAUGUGCUAUGUUGGCGAAGGGGUUUAGCUUUUGUUUCCACAGGAGAAGAAAAACUAUGGAUACCAUCAAAAUUAAUAAAAAUUCAAUUCGAACAGGAGAAACCUCUUGAUAAGGAGAAGUGAUAGCUCAUCCACCUAUGUGACAAUUCUACAAGUUGUAAGGAAAGCUCUCCAAACAAGGGUCAGGGCAGGGUUCUGUUUGUUGUCUUUUCAGGAUAAUAGAAAAACCCAUCUUCAAGAAGUCAAAAGGCCUUGGACCUCUAGAUGUCUAUAAAAGAAAGAAAGGAUAUCCAUAAAAAUCUUACAAACAAAAAAAUAAUCAGACAUAUUGGUACCAAUAUACUCUACAGGGCAAUAUCUCACUGCCUAAACAUCAGUAUCUCUUACUUCUAGAAAAGUUGUAGUCCUGACUCAAUUAUAAAUCAAGUUCAUUUUGGAGUUGGAAUGUGGCUUUCUCCUUUAAACCCAAACAUAUUGUUAAAAGAAAAAAUUAAGAGAUUCUGUCUCAUAUCAGAAUAGCCACCUGGUAUGGGACAGAAUAAAGCCAAUAAUGUAGGGACUAUUGUUGUCAAGAUUCUAUUUCUCUCCAUGCUUAUUCUUGAUUCUUUAGGGCCUUUCUUUACAUAUCAUGCCAUCUUAAAAUUUAAACUUUCCAUUUUGAUAUUAAUAAUGUUCAAGUUUUCCACAAUUAACAAUAAAUUUCCAGAAGGAAGAUGGGGCCCCACAACGAUUCUACCUGGUUCAUAAUGAUGACAUUGAGCAGACAAACACCACUCAUAGAUCAUCUCUGGACUACAAACAGUUCAGGACUGUUUCAAGGUGGCUAAGAUAAUCCAUCAUCUUACACCUCUAGCCAGAACUUCACAUAAGCUUUACCCAUUACUCUGAGACUGGCUACAAAUGUUACAGCUAGUCCUCAUGAGACUUAACUGUUGUUUUACUUUUCUUACAGGAUCCCACAGAGAUACUGUCUCCCCUUAGAUAGCAGAAAGCAAUUUUAAGAAAACGACACCCCCUCCCCCAAAAGGUUUUGUUUUCUCAGACUUAUGAAUAAUUGUUAUCUGUUAGGGGUUGGUUAUAAAUUGUAUUAGGGUUGGGGGUGAAACUAUAAAGUUUAGACUCAGGAUACUCUUUUGAAUAAGAAAACAGGGGAAUAAGGUAGAUUAUUGUAUCUACUUGUAAACUAAUCAGUAACUAUCAGCUUUAGAUAAUUUGCAUUGGUAUGGACUCUUGUAUAUUGAUACAAAUGUGAAAUUAUUUUUCUAUUGCUGUUUAAGAUAAUUUAUAUUGAUACAAAUACAAAACUGUAUGUCAUAUUGUACAUAUGUUCCUACUCCUGUUUGAAAUAUUUUGUAUAUUGAUACAAAUGUAAAAUUACAUUUGUCAUACUGUAUAUAUGUUCUACAUCUGUUUAGGAUAUUUUGUAUAUUGAUACAUAUCAAGGAUAUUGUUGUCAUAUUGCACUAUACAUUUCUACCUCUGAUUAAGAUAUUUUUGUAUAUUGUCACAACUUCGAGGUCAUUAUCCCUAUACUAUACAUCUGUUUACAGAUUGUUUAUUUUUAUAAUGUGAAGCCUUAGUCUUUAAGUUAUUUAGAUUGAUAAGAAUUACAGGUUAAUAGUCACCCAUGCUUGUCAUAUUUAUAGUCAUGUUAGUUAUGUUUUCUAGAUAUACAGAAAUAUAUGUUGGAUGGAUAAUCUUCAAACACUUCAUAGACCUACAGAAUAUGGCAUUUAAAUGUUUUAAUAACUUAGAAUUAUGUUGAUGUGAGAUACCAGCCCACCACCCAUGGAGCAACAUGUCAGCAGACCGGUAAUGCCACAGCCACGUGGCAAAACAUAGAUUAAUAGAAAUGGGUUAAUUUAAGAUGAAAGAGCUAGCUAACAAAAAGCCUGAGCCAUAGACCAAACAGUUUAUAAUUAAUAUAAGCCUCUGUGUGUUUACUUGGGACCAGGUGGGACAGGAAAACUUCCGGGUACACUUGUAAGCUGUUUGAUACGAGUGCUGGGAACCAAACCUGGGUCCUCUGCAAGAAUAGUAAGUGCUCUUAUCCACUGAGCAUCUCCCCAAACCCAGUUCAUGUGUGUUUUUUAAUUAAUAAAAUAGAACCUUGGCAACACUAAUCAAUCAAAGAAAAGGAAUAAACAGAAGUUACCACUGUCAAUAAUGGGAAAAUAUAGUAUAGUAAGGGAUUUUCUUUCAUUCAAAAUGUCAUUUACCAGGUUUUGUGCCACAAGCCUGUGAGCUAAAGCUCUCAGCAGGCUGAGGCAGGAGGAUCAUACAUUCCAGGCCAGCCGGGGUGACUUCGUGUGACCCUGGGUUGAAACAAAAAGUGAUUUGAAAGGGGGGUGGUAGUUAAAGAUACAACUCAGUGACAGAUCGGGUGCCUGGAUCCAAUCCCCAGCUCCCAAAACCAAAUGACAGUUCAAGAGAAUAUAGUGAGUGACUUUGCUUCAGUAACUUCGAAAUGUAGGUGAAUACUUGUGUGUGUAUGUGUGAUGUAUGUUUGUAUGUGUGCAUAUGUGUAAAGUGUGUGUGUGUGUGUGUGUGUGUGUGUGUGUGUGUACAUGAGUGAGGUGCGUGUGCUUGUGGAGGCCAGAGAUUGACACUGGCUGUCUUUCUCAGUAGCUCUUCACCUAAUUUUUUUUUGAGACAGUGUCUCUCACUGAGCCAGGGAUUGGCUGGAGCCAGAGAUCUCUGCCUCCCCAGCUCUGGAAUCACAGUCUCCCCUAUGCCUGGAUUUUUGUUUGUUUUGUUUUGAAGACAGUGUUUCUCUAUAUAGCUCUGGCUUUUUUGGAACUCUGUAGACCAGGCUGACCUUGAACUCAGAGAUGUAUCUCCCAAGUGCUGGAAUUAAAGGCGUUCACCACCA